ACACGCCGCGAGCUAAGCAGAAAAGGGAGGCAGGCUGCCCCGACACCCCACUACUCACCGCUAGGUUUCCGUCUGGCGCCGAUCCGGCUGCGUCACGCCGGCCGAACGACACCCCGCUGAGUCGCCGCCGCAGGGAAGGUACCUUCGGCCCCAACGGGAAAAGCCAAUUUCCAGUAAUUCGCGCCCGACCACCGGGGAGUGAAUGUUUCCCUCUGAGGAUGAAGAUCACUAUAAACAACUCUGAUGAGAUCAUGCUGACACAAUGCCCCUUCUGUCAAAGCCAUGGAUCCAAUUGUUGAAGGCUACAAAAAUAAGGACGUGACUUGACUCUCCUGCCUCUCUGCUUAUGUUCAAUUGAUAGCUGCUUCCAGAAACCUCACCGGCUCCUCAUCUCAACAGGCCAAAACUAUACCUCUUCAUAAGACCCAGCUUAGAUGGCAUCACCUCAAUAAAGCCUGCCAUGAUAACUUCAGCUAACAUCUGAGUUUCUCUCUAAAAUCCUCUUAUUAUACAAACCACAUUAUUAGUUAUCUAUAAACAUGUCUUUUCGAACACAGCAGGAGUUUCCUAAAAGCAGGUGCCACACAUGUAAUUCUCCAUAUUUUCAGUGUCCAACUCAAUGGCAUACAUCCAAAAACAUUCAUAAAUAUUGGUCAAAUAAAACAAUUUGAAGAUAUAAAUAAAAUAUUAAUAAUACAAUCAAUUAUAGUAGUUUUACAUACUUUAUAAAAUACAUUAUCAAAAAAAUGCAUUAUCAAUAUCUACCCCUGUACUCAACCUAAUUAGUUCAAACAAGUUACACUUAUAGACAUUUGAAUUGUUUUUUCUUUUUUUGAGACAGGGUCUUGCUCUCUUGCCCAGGCUUGAGCACAGUGGCACAAUCAUGGCUCACUGCAUCCUCGAUGUCCUCGGCUCCAGAGAUCUUCCCAUCUCAGUAUCCUCAGUAGCUGGGACUACAGGCAUAUGCCACCAUGCCCAGCUAAUUUUUUAUAGAGACGAGGUUUGGCCAAGCUGCCCAGGCUGGUCUCAAACUCCUGGGCUCAAGUGAUCCUCCCACCUUGGCCUCCUAAAGUGCUGGAAUUACAGGCAUGAGUCACUACAUCCGGCCUCAAUUUAUUUAUUAUUUUUAAUUUUUUUUUUUUUUUGAGACGGAGUCUCACUCUUUCACCCAGGCUGGAGUGCAGUGGUACAAUCUUGGCUCACUGCAACCUCUAACUCCUCAGUUCCAGCAAUUCUCCUGCCUCAGCCUCCCAGGUAGCUGGGAUUACAGGAACACACCACCAUGCUCAGCUAAUUUCUGUAUUUUUAGUAGAGACGGAGUCUCACCAUGUUGGCCAGGCUGGUCUCGAACUCCUGACCUCAAGUGAUAUGCCUGCCUUGGCCUCCCAAAAAUGCUGGGAUUACAGGCAUGAGCCACUGCGCCUGGCCAAUUUAUUUUUCUCUAAACAUUCCUUAAGUAUUAUUUCAGAGGACCUUAAAAAAUACUUAAAAUUUCCCAAACUGUCAUCUUCAACUUACCAAAUUGUAAAUUCCUAACAGAAGUGCUUCAAUGCAACCAUUACUCUGUCUGUCUCGGCUAACUGUAAGCCGUAAAUAAACCCACAUCAAUUCUGGCAAGAACUGCAGUGUGAACCUCUUAAGUCGAACCUCUGAGCUACGAUAGAGCUCAAACAGCUGAUGGCAGACAGGCUCCAGGAGCUAAAAGGAAAAUAAAGUGCACUGGUCAUUUCAAUUCUUUUGGUUGUAACUGUUGUUUUUUUUUUUUUAAGGCACCUAUAUCUGUAUAAUAUUUUUAAAAGUCUUAAUAUUAAUUUCUCCACAUUUUAAUUUAACCAAAACCUUUGUGUAAAGAGACCACAUAUUAAACUGACCAAUCCACUAACUAUAAGAAGUAUUUUGUGCCCAUACAUCAAUGUACCUUUCAGUAUACUGUACUACUAAAUUUACUAGAUUAUUAGUCCUUUAGCCAAUGUACUACAUUUAUAUUUGAGAAGAAUUUUCCUUUCUAUUCUUAUCAACUCUAUCUUCCAUUUCAAAAACUUUCCAUUGAAAUAAAAUAAUUUUGCAUAAUAUUGCUGGGAAUAAACUUAAAAUCUCAACUGAGACUAUGAUUUAAGCAAAUUAUAUACCACUCUUACUGAAAAAUGUGUGUUGAUACAGAAUUUUCUAAGAGUCAUGCUGUUGGGCAAAGCAACUCUGUUUUUCAACCACUGCUAAUCAGUUUCUGACAGUCAAAAAUUCUGUACAUAUUUUGGAAUCAGAAGAAUCCUAUGUAAAUCAUUUGUUACUUAAAUCUGUGAAAAACAUGUUUCUUUGGAGGAAAAUGUAUGCAUUUGUAAGUGUUCUGUGGAAUCAGUUUUCAUUGUAUUGAUGUCAUUGUCUCUAAGUGCUCAGUGUCUUCACUGCAAUAUGAAAUUUAUUAAAGCAUCCACAUUCCAUUUUAAAAAAACUUAUAUACCACUCAGUAGAAGAAGGGAUUUUGCAAUACAUAUUUGUGCAUCCAAAAUUCUAGCUAAUAUUUAAAAUACAUACAAGUGAGGCAAACUAUUUUAAAACUGACUUAAAUUUUUCUUAUUGUAUUUAUGUGAAAGAUUUUAUAAAGGAGAAAAGUAUCCAGAAAUAGCUUUUUCAGUGUUCAAUUGGCUAAUUUUUCAUACGAUAUCACACAAUAUGACUUAUGAGGAACUUCAUGACCUAGAAAACUGAAGAAAAUGAGCAGUUAAAAUAAACUUUCCCACUUUUCCCUAAAUAUGUACUGCCAAUUUAGAAUGGGUUUGCUGGAGUAACCGUAGGCUGCAGAAAACUGGCUAUGACUUUAAAAUUCAUAUAAAAUAUUGACAAGAAACUAUAAAGUAAUUUUUAAAGUUUAAUACUAACUCUUUAAAAAAAAAGAAUAAUAGUUCAGUAAUUUCAUGUACUUUCCUCUAUUCUAAAUGAUUAAAAUAAUGCAUAUACAUUUGGAAAUCUGUUUGAAUAUAGUUACAUACAUCUGUAAUAAUCUAACACUCUACAAUAAAAAGUCACUGUCAUGAUUAUAAAAAGUUAACAAAUCCAUGUCAAUUAUACAGUUAACAUAUUUAGAAGAGUUAGGCUUAGCUCUGGAAGAAUUCUAAAGCUUAAAAAAUUUACAUACAUAUACAUCCUAGUCUAGUAAAUACUAAGCCCUUUAUGUGAAAUCACUAUCAGAACAGUUUUUAAAAUCUUAAAAAAUUUUCCAGAGGCUGGGUGUGGAGGUACACAUCCAGCUAUUCACAAGGUUGAAGAGGGUGGAUAGCUUGAGCCCAGGAGUUUGAGGCUGCAUUGAACCAUGACAGCAUCACUGCACUCCAGCCUGGGUAACAGAGCAAGACUGACACAAAAGAAAAAUAUUCCAACUCUUCCCUUACAUUGAAGUCUAGACCAGUCAGACAAUUUGUCAAAGGUUGGUGAAGUUAAUGGUGAAAUAAGACACUAAAUUCAGGUCUUCUGACAUCAAGUUGAUGUUUCCACUCUACCGCACUUCUUAUAUUAGAAUGGAGGUAUAGAUUGUUUAAUCACAAAACAGUGUAUUCUAUGUAGUGCCAAUAAUGAACAAGUAAUAAACUUUUGGAAACUGUCA
RNAcentral lists this long non-coding RNA (3598 nucleotides) under Homo sapiens (human). Its description in RNAcentral is "uncharacterized LOC105373835, transcript variant 1 (LOC105373835)". Lineage: Eukaryota; Metazoa; Chordata; Mammalia; Primates; Hominidae. The record is from RNAcentral.